AGUGCGUCUUAAGCAUGCAAGUCAAACGGGAUGUAGCAAUACAUCUAGUGGCGAACGGGUGAGUAACGCGUGGAUGAUCUACCUACGAGAUGGGGAUAACUAUUAGAAAUAGUAGCUAAUACCGAAUAAAGUCAAUUAAUUUGUUAAUUGAUGAAAGGAAGCCUCUAAAGCUUUGCUUGUAGAUGAGUCUGCGUCUUAUUAGUUAGUUGGUAGGGUAAAUGCCUACCAAGGCGAUGAUAAGUAACCGGCCUGAGAGGGUGAACGGUCACACUGGAACUGAGAUACGGUCCAGACUCCUACGGGAGGCAGCAGCUAAGAAUCUUCCGCAAUGGGCGAAAGCCUGACGGAGCGACACUGCGUGAAUGAAGAAGGUCGAAAGAUUGUAAAAUUCUUUUAUAAAUGAGGAAUAAGCUUUGUAGGAAAUGACGAAGUGAUGACGUUAAUUUAUGAAUAAGCCCCGGCUAAUUACGUGCCAGCAGCCGCGGUAAUACGUAAGGGGCGAGCGUUGUUCGGGAUUAUUGGGCGUAAAGGGUGAGUAGGCGGAUAUAUAAGUCUAUGCAUAAAAUACCACAGCUCAACUGUGGAACUAUGUUGGAAACUAUAUGUCUAGAGUCUGAUAGAGGAAGUUAGAAUUUCUGG
This 639-nucleotide ribosomal RNA is filed under the name Borreliella garinii. RNAcentral describes it as "bacterial SSU rRNA". It matches the Rfam family "Bacterial small subunit ribosomal RNA", at positions 41 to 673 of the family's 1533-position model. The record is from RNAcentral. Lineage: Bacteria; Pseudomonadati; Spirochaetota; Spirochaetia; Spirochaetales; Borreliaceae.